GUGGGACUUCCCUGUUUCCAUAAUUGGGAGAGAAUUUGGACACAGGCAUGCAUACGGGGAGAACAUCGUGCAUACAGGGAGAACAUCAUGCAUAUGUGAAGACAGCCAUUUACCAGUCGGGGAAAGUAGCCUGGAACAGAGUUUCUCUUCGGAGCACUCAGAGGCAACCCUGUCAAUAUCUCGAUUUCAGACUUCUGGCCUCUAAAACUCUGAGACAAUAAAUUUCUGUUGUUU
This 234-nucleotide long non-coding RNA is filed under the name Homo sapiens (human). Its description in RNAcentral is "HSALNT0297197". Lineage: Eukaryota; Metazoa; Chordata; Mammalia; Primates; Hominidae. The record is from RNAcentral.